Molecule: ribosomal RNA, 294 nt
Filed under: uncultured soil bacterium
Lineage: Bacteria
Description: partial 16S ribosomal RNA
Rfam family: Bacterial small subunit ribosomal RNA
Source: RNAcentral
AGAUUGAGCGCUGGCGGCAGGCCUAACACAUGCAAGUCGAGCGGCAGCACGGGUACUUGUACCUGGUGGCGAGCGGCGGACGGGUGAGUAAUGCCUAGGAAUCUGCCUGGUAGUGGGGGAUAACGCUCGGAAACGGACGCUAAUACCGCAUACGUCCGUACGGGAGAAAGCGAGGGGACCUUCGGGCCUUGCGCUAUCAGUAUGAGCCGUAGGUCGGAUUAGCUAGGUUGGUGAGGUAAUGGCUACGACCGAAGGCGACGAUCCGUAACUGGUCUGAGAGGAUGAUCGAGUCAC